RNAcentral lists this unclassified non-coding RNA (225 nucleotides) under Hevea brasiliensis (rubber tree). The record is from RNAcentral. Lineage: Eukaryota; Viridiplantae; Streptophyta; Magnoliopsida; Malpighiales; Euphorbiaceae.
AAAAAAAGGAUAAAUUCUCUAAUAUCAUCCAAAAUACAAUGCCAAGGUGCUUACAGGUGAAAUUGUGACUCAACAAAGAUUUACAAUAUCCUAUCAAUAAAUCACACUGAUCAAAUUUAACUAAUAAUUCCCAGCCUAGUCUUCUAGUUCCCAUCUCUUACAUUUCCUCCAAAUUAGCCUGUUCUAUGUCAAUUUCAUCAUGAACUAAAAAAACUUAUGGUUUUU